RNAcentral lists this ribosomal RNA (491 nucleotides) under uncultured bacterium. RNAcentral describes it as "partial 16S ribosomal RNA". It matches the Rfam family "Bacterial small subunit ribosomal RNA", at positions 29 to 506 of the family's 1533-position model. The record is from RNAcentral.
AGUGAACGCUGGCGGUAGGCCUAACACAUGCAAGUCGAACGGCAGCACAGUAAGAGCUUGCUCUUACGGGUGGCGAGUGGCGGACGGGUGAGGAAUACAUCGGAAUCUACUUUUUCGUGGGGGAUAACGUAGGGAAACUUACGCUAAUACCGCAUACGACCUACGGGUGAAAGCAGGGGAUCUUCGGACCUUGCGCGAUUGAAUGAGCCGAUGUCGGAUUAGCUAGUUGGCGGGGUAAAGGCCCACCAAGGCGACGAUCCGUAGCUGGUCUGAGAGGAUGAUCAGCCACACGGGAGCUGAGACACGGUCCAGACUCCUACGGGAGGCAGCAGUGGGGAAUAUUGGACAAUGGGCGCAAGCCUGAUCCAGCCAUACCGCGUGGGUGAAGAAGGCCUUCGGGUUGUAAAGCCCUUUUGUUGGGAAAGAAAAGCAGCAGGUUAAUACCCCGCUGUUCUGACGGUACCCAAAGAAUAAGCACCGGCUAACUUCGU